GGAAUAUUGGUCAAUGGACGAGAGUCUGAACCAGCCAAGUCGCGUGAAGGAUGACUGCCCUAUGGGUUGUAAACUUCUUUUACACGGGAAUAAAGUUCGCCACGUGUGGCGUUUUGCAUGUACCGUUUGAAUAAGGAUCGGCUAACUCCGUGCCAGCAGCCGCGGUAAUACGGAGGAUCCCAGCGUUAUCCGGAUUUAUUGGGUUUAAAGGGUGCGUAGGCGGUUUUUUAAGUCAGUCGUGAAAUUUCGGGGCUCAACCUUGAGCUUGCGGUUGAUACUGUUAGACUUGAGUAUAGUGGAAGUCGGCGGAAUUCGUGGUGUAGCGGUGAAAUGCUUAGAUAUCACGAGGAACUCCAAUCGCGAAGGCGGCCGGCUAUACUUUUACUGACGCUGAUGCACGAAAGUGUGGGUAUCAAACAGGAUUAGAUACCCUGGUAGUCCACACCGUAAACGAUGAAUACUCGUUGUGGGCGAUAUAGUGUCCGCGACCAAGCGAAAGCGUUAAGUAUUCCACCUGGGGAGUACGCCGGCAACGGUGAAACUCAAAGGAAUUGACGGGGGCCCGCACAAGCGGAGGAACAUGUGGUUUAAUUCGAUGAUACGCGAGGAACCUUACCCGGGCUUGAAUCGCGCUCGUAUAUGCCUGAAAUGGCAUAGCCGCAAGGGCGAGCGUGAAGGUGCUGCAUGGUUGUCGUCAGCUCGUGCCGUGAGGUGUCGGCUUAAGUGCCAUAACGAGCGCAACCCUAAUCGUUAGUUACUAUCAGGUAAUGCUGAGGACUCUAUCGAGACUGCCGUCGUAAGAUGUGAGGAAGGUUGGGAUGACGUCAAAUCAGCACGGCCCUUACGUCCGGGGCUACACACGUGUUACAAUGGGGGGUACAACGGGUCGCCACCAAGCGAUUGGGCGCUAAUCCUUAAAACCUCUCUCAGUUCGGAUCGAAGUCUGCAACCCGACUUCGUGAAGCUGGAUUCGCUAGUAAUCGCGCAUCA
Molecule: ribosomal RNA, 990 nt
Filed under: uncultured Bacteroidales bacterium
Lineage: Bacteria; Pseudomonadati; Bacteroidota; Bacteroidia; Bacteroidales
Description: bacterial SSU rRNA
Rfam family: Bacterial small subunit ribosomal RNA
Source: RNAcentral